This 482-nucleotide ribosomal RNA is filed under the name uncultured bacterium. RNAcentral describes it as "partial 16S ribosomal RNA". It matches the Rfam family "Bacterial small subunit ribosomal RNA", at positions 28 to 507 of the family's 1533-position model. The record is from RNAcentral.
GAUGAACGCUAGCGGCAGGCCUAAUACAUGCAAGUCGAACGAGAUUAAGAGGCUUGCUUCUUAUGAAAGUGGCGCACGGGUGCGUAACGCGUAUGCAACCUACCUUAAUCAGGGGGAUAGCCCGAAGAAAUUCGGAUUAAGACCGCAUAAAAACACAGGAUAGCAUUAUCCAAUGUUCAAAUAUUUAUAGGAUUAAGAUGGGCAUGCGUGUCAUUAGCUAGUUGGCGGGGUAACGGCUCACCAAGGCGACGAUGACUAGGGGAUCUGAGAGGAUGACCCCCCACACUGGUACUGAGACACGGACCAGACUCCUACGGGAGGCAGCAGUAAGGAAUAUUGGUCAAUGGAGGGAACUCUGAACCAGCCAUGCCGCGUGCAGGAAGACAGCCCUCUGGGUCGUAAACUGCUUUUAUUCGGGAAUAAACCUUUCUACGUGUAGGAAGCUGAAUGUACCGAAGGAAUAAGGAUCGGCUAACUCCGUG